This 459-nucleotide ribosomal RNA is filed under the name uncultured bacterium. Its description in RNAcentral is "partial 16S ribosomal RNA". It matches the Rfam family "Bacterial small subunit ribosomal RNA", at positions 338 to 795 of the family's 1533-position model. The record is from RNAcentral.
CCUACGGGGGGCUGCAGUGAGGAAUAUUGGUCAAUGGUCGGGAGACUGAACCAGCCAAGCCGCGUGAGGGAUGAAGGUACAGAGUAUCGUAAACCUCUUUUGUCAGGGAACAAAGGCGGGGACGUGUCCCCGGAUGAGUGUACCUGAAGAAAAAGCAUCGGCAAACUCCGGUCCAGCAGCCGCGGUAAUACGGAGGAUGCGAGGGUUAUCCGGUUUUAUUGGGUUUAAGGGGUGCGCAGGCGGUCUGUUAAGUCAGCGGUAAAAGCCCGGGGCUCAACCCCGGCCCGCCGUUGAAACUGGCAGUCUCGAGUUGGCGAGAAGUAUGCGGAAUGCGAGGUGUAGCGGUGAAAUGCAUAGAUAUCGCGCAGAACUCCGAUUGCGAAGGCAGCAUGCCGGCUCCAAACUGACGCUGAGGCACGAAAGCGUGGGUAUCGAACAGGAUUAGAUACCCGAGUAGUC